This is a long non-coding RNA of Herpailurus yagouaroundi (jaguarundi), 773 nucleotides long. RefSeq lists it as uncharacterized. NCBI's taxonomy places the organism in Eukaryota, Metazoa, Chordata, Mammalia, Carnivora, Felidae. The transcript is spliced from 2 exons. The record is from RefSeq and is a predicted model, not a curated record.
GCCCUAGUGGGGGUGCGGGUGCGAAACCCUGACAUGAGCUUUCCCCGGGGAUCCUCCCCGGGCUCCCUGACCCGUAGGCCUAAGAAUCUGGGAUUUCUACUGAGUCGAGGAAGGUGGUGCUCACAUACUCCGGCUCAGAUAGGUUGCCGGGUGCCCCAAAUUCUACCGUCAGAGCUCCAGUCAGGAUGAGCUUGCAAUCCAGGUCAUGAGGACGGACCCUAACCCAGUAUGACUGGGGUCCUUAUCAGAGGAGGUUAGGACACAGACGCGCACAGAGGGAUAAUCGUGUGAGGACACAGGGAGGAGACAGCGUCUAUGCCCCCACGAGAGACGCCUCGGAAGGAACCAGACCAACUUGCCCACGGCUGGAUCUCAGACUUCCAGCCUCCAGAGCCGUGAGACAACACAUGUCCGGUGUGUUAGCCGCCCUGCGUGUGGUCCUUUGUCGCGGCAGUCCUAGGAGGCUAACGUGGGGUCUGGACUCAAUGCCACGUGGGGUCCUGGAUUCAAUCCUGGAACGGGAAAAGGACACCCGUGGAAAAACCUGAAACACAGACGAAGCCUUUUGUUUCGCUAAUGGUAUUGCACCAAUGUUCCUUUCCUCUUUUUGACAACUGACAGUAAUUUAAGAUGUUAACAGGAGAGGAAGCUGAGUUAAGUGUAUACGGAACUUCCUGCACUAUCUUUGCAAUUAAUCUGUAAAUCCAAAUGGUUGCACAACAGUGUGAAUGUGAUUGAUGCUGUUGAGCUGUGUGCUUAAAUAUGAUUAAGAC